This is a long non-coding RNA of Misgurnus anguillicaudatus (oriental weatherfish), 1926 nucleotides long. RefSeq lists it as uncharacterized. Lineage: Eukaryota; Metazoa; Chordata; Actinopteri; Cypriniformes; Cobitidae. The record is from RefSeq and is a predicted model, not a curated record.
AUUAAGAGACAAAUUUUCUGAAACUAAAUUCAUUUUAAAGUAGAAACCAAAACUUAAAUUAAACUCGAAAAUAAUGUCUGACCCAUUAUAAUUCUCCCUUCAUAUUGGCCUUUACAACGCCCUAUAUGGCGUUUAAAAUUACAGUCUAUCUUUCGUAAUAAGCUAACUAAAUUUAAACAAAAAAUAAACAACAUUACAACAAUAUUCAAACCCAACAAUACUCAAACGUAAAUAUAAAACAGAGAUUAUCUAUAAGGAUAAAUGUUAAAACAAUCCGAUAUAGCGUUUAUAAUAGCUGGUUGGUAGAUGUUUACUAUUUUUGGCAAAACCUCCGUUGCAAACCUCCAUUUACCUGAAUAAAAUAAUUUUUACUUUGAAAAUGAUGCGCUGUCACGUUAACAUCAGCUGUUAGUUUACAUAAGACUCCAUCUACGUUCAUUUACACUCAGAGCAACGUCUGAGUUCUCAAACUAAAACAGGGUCUGCAGUGUUUGCGAACGAAUCCGUUUAUGAGGGUUGAAAAUGGUGAUGUAGUGUAGAUGAAAGGCAUAAACGUAGCAAAAGUAACGCGUUUUAAAGGAUAAACGCAUUAAUGUAAACAUAGCCUUAGUUUAGACACAGUAAUUCUCAGUUACAUUUGCUAUGUAGUCUUGAUGGCAACUAUCAGUAAGGCUGCACUACAGUUUAUUUUAAGUGUGUACUGUGUAAUAUGAUUCCAUACAUUGCGAUAUUGUUUACAUGCAACGCAAUUGUUUAGCCUACCAGGUACUGUCGCAAUGUCAUAUGCAACCUGUUUUUCAACAGUUUAUAUGACUUACAGAAACACAAAACAUUGUUAAAUACAGAAGUUGAUGGGCAUCUGAAAACAGUAAUCUGAAAACAGCUUUUAUAUACUGUAACUAAUCACUGCAGAUGUUCAUCUCUGAAGAUGUUCUGAAUUUAGUUUAUGUAGGGGAGAGAGGGGGCCAAAGUACCAUUUUUCAGAAAAACGUAAUUUAAAAAAAUAAUGUUAUAGAGAGAGAUAUAUUUUCGCCCUGGUCAAUAACUCACAAGUAUGGUCUAUCAAUACCUGGUGGAAUUUUGUAAAAAUGUAAAACAUUGCAGUUGCCGCGAAAUGCAUUCUGGGAAACUUGGCUGUCAGAAGUCCGCACAAGUCUCCACCUAAUGCAUCCUCGAUAAAAUGGGCGGAUCAAGAACACAUCCGGGGAUCUUAUGUGAACUUGGCUUGAUGCGAACUUUGAUUUGGAACAGUACGCGACUGAUGACGUUUUACAAGUCCACAAGAACGCAAGUACAGACAAAAACAUAUUGAGAAACGGCCCACAGGUUUUCAAACCUGUCCUGGAGGACCACUAGUACUGCACAAUUUGCAUGUCUCCCUCAUUAGACACACCUGGUUUAAAUCUUCAGCUCAUUAGUAGAGACUGCAAGACCUGAACUGGGUGUGUAAGGUAACUGAAUGAGGUGUGUCUCAAAAGGGAAACAUCCAAAAUGUGCAGUACUAGUGGUCCUCCAGGACAGGUUUGAAAACCCCUGCACUAGACAAUCACGGGUGGUUAAGUUUGAUUAGGGUUGGAGAUAAACUAUGCAGUGCUCGGUCCUCCAGGGUCUGCAUCCCUAUCAGCUGUUGCAGUACUACACUGCACACAAUACAAAACCAUGAAGUUGAAAGAAAUAUUUACACUUGUUGAACAUUAAAGUUACAUGAACCACGUGAAGUUUAUGUAACAGCUCAUAGCAAAGCUCUGUUGUGUCACUCAAAGUUUCAGUUUCUUGUAUUAAGACUUUGGAAAUGCCAGUCAUGACAGUUUUUUCAAACGGACACAAAGUUGUCUGCUAAAAUGUAUGUGUACAAAAUGUAAAUUUGAUAUUUAUAAUUUAGAUUUUAUUGCACACUAUUUAAUUAUUAAACUACAAGCAAAAAUU